RNAcentral lists this ribosomal RNA (119 nucleotides) under Pteropus alecto (black flying fox). The record is from RNAcentral. Lineage: Eukaryota; Metazoa; Chordata; Mammalia; Chiroptera; Pteropodidae.
GUCUACGGCCAUGCCAUCCUGAACGUGCCCGAUCCUAUCUGAUCUCAGAAGCUAAGCAGUAUCGGGCAUGGUUAGUACUUGGAUGGGAGGCCACCUAGGAAGACCAGGUGCUAUAGGCA